This is a long non-coding RNA of Hevea brasiliensis (rubber tree), 567 nucleotides long. RefSeq lists it as uncharacterized. The record is from RefSeq and is a predicted model, not a curated record. The transcript is spliced from 2 exons. Lineage: Eukaryota; Viridiplantae; Streptophyta; Magnoliopsida; Malpighiales; Euphorbiaceae.
GGCUAAUGGCAUGGUUGCAAAGUUGCAACAAAGCAGUUCAUCAUAUAUUAAUCCAUAACUAUUCUCCUUUGUUGUCACAGGAUAAUGCAACUGCCUAAAAUGUUAACUGCAAUGGAUGAACUCAUGUCAUGUGAUUCCUUGCACCUAGAAAAGUUCCUCAGAAAUUCAACGUAUGAGGAGGAGAGCAGGAGGGUUUUGGGCAAGACAUGGUAAACGAUGCUAGGCUCAUAGUUUGUUUUAUCUGCUCCAUGUUCAAUGAGAUGGAAAAUUUUUGCCCUUUGUUCGACCAGGGGAAAUUAGUACAUAUGUCAAAGCCCCCUUUUUUACUCUGACAGUGUGAUAAAAAGCCAGUUUAGUCAUGUUCAACCAUGUUUUAUUUUUAUACAGGUGCUCGUCCUCAUUAGAUUAUUGAUUUUUAUCUAUCUUUUUUGUACAUCAGAAAACUGUAAGUCGUCUGAUGCAUUAAAGCUGUAAAUUGAAUGUCCUACCAAAAAACAAAGCUGUAAAUUGAAUGUCUUUCAUUCUUGGAAGCACUCAAUAAUAAAAUUAUCAUAGAAGUGAGCUGCA